RNAcentral lists this ribosomal RNA (433 nucleotides) under uncultured bacterium. RNAcentral describes it as "partial 16S ribosomal RNA". It matches the Rfam family "Bacterial small subunit ribosomal RNA", at positions 29 to 507 of the family's 1533-position model. The record is from RNAcentral.
AACGAACGCUGGCGGCAUGCCUAACACAUGCAAGUCGAACGAGACCUUCGGGUCUAGUGGCGCACGGGUGCGUAACGCGUGGGAACCUGCCCUUAGGUUCGGAAUAACUCCCCGAAAGGGGUGCUAAUACCGGAUAAUGUCUUCGGACCAAAGAUUUAUCGCGUUUGGAUGGGCCCGCGUUGGAUUAGCUAGUUGGUAGGGUAAAAGCCUACCAAGGCGACGAUCCAUAGCUGGUCUGAGAGGAUGAUCAGCCACACUGGGACUGAGACACGGCCCAGACUCCUACGGGAGGCAGCAGUGGGUAAUAUUGGACAAUGGGCGAAAGCCUGAUCCAGCAAUGCCGCGUGAGUGAUGAAGGCCUUAGGGUUGUAAAGCUCUUUUACCCGGGAUGAUAAUGACAGUACCGGGAGAAUAAGCUCCGGCUAACUCCGUG